This 1079-nucleotide long non-coding RNA is filed under the name Salmo salar (Atlantic salmon). RNAcentral's name for it is "lncRNA (ENSSSAG00000095491.1)". Lineage: Eukaryota; Metazoa; Chordata; Actinopteri; Salmoniformes; Salmonidae. The record is from RNAcentral.
GUACACAUCCUGUAUGGUAGGGGUUAUAGUUAACACUAGGUACACACCCUGUAUGGUAGGGGUUAGAGUUAACACUAGGUACACACCCUGUAUGGUAGGGGUUAGAGUUAACACUAGGUACACAUCCUGUAUGGUAGGGGUUAUAGUUAACACUAGGUACACAUCCUGUAUGGUAGGGGUUAUAGUUAACACUAGGUACACAUCCUGUAUGGUAGGGGUUAUAGUUAACACUAGGUACACAUCCUGUAUGGUAGGGGUUAUAGUUAACACUAGGUACACACCCUGUAUGGUAGGGGUUAUAGUUAACACUAGGUACACAUCCUGUAUGGUAGGGGUUAUAGUUAACACUAGGUACACAUCCUGUAUGGUAGGGGUUAGGGUUAACACUAGGUACACAUCCUGUAUGGUAGGGGUUAGAGUUAACACUAGGUACACACCCUGUAUGGUAGGGGUUAGAGUUAACACUAGGUACACAUCCUGUAUGGUAGGGGUUAGAGUUAACACUAGGUACACACCCUGUAUGGUAGGGGUUAUAGUUAACACUAGGUACACAUCCUGUAUGGUAGGGGUUAGGGUUAGAGUUAACACUAGGUACACACCCUGUAUGGUAGGGGUUAGGGUUAGAGUAAACACUAGGUACACAUCCUGUAUGGUAGGGGUUAGAGUUAACACUAGGUACACAUCCUGUAUGGUAGGGGUUAGAGUUAGAGUUAACACUAGGUACACACCCUGUAUGGUAGGGGUUAGAGUUAACACUAGGUACACACCCUGUAUGGUAGGGGUUAGGGUUAACACUAGGUACACACCCUGUAUGGUAGGGGUUAGGGUUAACACUAGGUACACACCCUGUAUGGUAGGGGUUAGAGUUAACACUAGGUACACAUCCUGUAUGGUAGGGGUUAGAGUUAACACUAGGUACACAUCCUGUAUGGUAGGGGUUAGGGUUAGAGUUAACACUAGGUACACACCCUGUAUGGUAGGGGUUAGAGUUAACACUAGGUACACACCCUGUAUGGUAGGGGUUAGGGUUAACACUAGGUACACAUCCUGUAUGGUAGGGGUUAGGGUUAUAGUUAACA